GAUGAACGCUAGCUACAGGCUUAACACAUGCAAGUCGAGGGGCAGCAUGGUCUUAGCUUGCUAAGGCCGAUGGCGACCGGCGCACGGGUGAGUAACACGUAUCCAACCUGCCGUCUACUCUUGGACAGCCUUCUGAAAGGAAGAUUAAUACAAGAUGGCAUCAUGAGUCCGCAUGUUCACAUGAUUAAAGGUAUUCCGGUAGACGAUGGGGAUGCGUUCCAUUAGAUAGUAGGCGGGGUAACGGCCCACCUAGUCUUCGAUGGAUAGGGGUUCUGAGAGGAAGGUCCCCCACAUUGGAACUGAGACACGGUCCAAACUCCUACGGGAGGCAGCAGUGAGGAAUAUUGGUCAAUGGGCGAGAGCCUGAACCAGCCAAGUAGCGUGAAGGAUGACUGCCCUAUGGGUUGUAAACUUCUUUUAUAAAGGAAUAAAGUCGGGUAUGCAUACCCGUUUGCAUGUACUUUAUGAAUAAGGAUCGGCUAACUCCGUGCCAGCAGCCGCGGUAAUACGGAGGAUCCGAGCGUUAUCCGGAUUUAUUGGGUUUAAAGGGAGCGUAGAUGGAUGUUUAAGUCAGUUGUGAAAGUUUGCGGCUCAACCGUAAAAUUGCAGUUGAUACUGGAUAUCUUGAGUGCAGUUGAGGCAGGCGGAAUUCGUGGUGUAGCGGUGAAAUGCUUAGAUAUCACGAAGAACUCCGAUUGCGAAGGCAGCCUGCUAAGCUGCAACUGACAUUGAGGCUCGAAAGUGUGGGUAUCAAACAGGAUUAGAUACCCUGGUAGUCCACACGGUAAACGAUGAAUACUCGCUGUUUGCGAUAUACGGCAAGCGGCCAAGCGAAAGCGUUAAGUAUUCCACCUGGGGAGUACGCCGGCAACGGUGAAACUCAAAGGAAUUGACGGGGGCCCGCACAAGCGGAGGAACAUGUGGUUUAAUUCGAUAAUACGCGAGGAACCUUACCCGGGCUUAAAUUGCAGAUGAAUUACGGUGAAAGCCGUAAGCCGCAAGGCAUCUGUGAAGGUGCUGCAUGGUUGUCGUCAGCUCGUGCCGUGAGGUGUCGGCUUAAGUGCCAUAACGAGCGCAACCCUUGUUGUCAGUUACUAACAGGUCAUGCUGAGGACUCUGACAAGACUGCCAUCGUAAGAUGUGAGGAAGGUGGGGAUGACGUCAAAUCAGCACGGCCCUUACGUCCGGGGCUACACACGUGUUACAAUGGGGGGUACAGAGGGCCGCUACCACGCGAGUGGAUGCCAAUCCCAAAAACCUCUCUCAGUUCGGACUGGAGUCUGCAACCCGACUCCACGAAGCUGGAUUCGCUAGUAAUCGCGCAUCAGCCACGGCGCGGUGAAUACGUUCCCGGGCCUUGUACACACCGCCCGUCAAGCCAUGGGAGCCGGGGGUACCUGAAGUGCGUAACCGCGAGGAGCGCCCUAGGGUAAAACUGGUGACUGGGGCU
This 1450-nucleotide ribosomal RNA is filed under the name uncultured organism. RNAcentral describes it as "SSU rRNA". It matches the Rfam family "Bacterial small subunit ribosomal RNA". The record is from RNAcentral.